UUGCCCCAGUAACGGCGAGUGAAGCGGCAGCAGCUCAAAUUUGAAAUCUGGGGUCCCCGACCUCCGAGUUGUAAUUUGGAGAGGCAUCUUCGGGGGGGAGCGCCGGCCCAUGUUCCUUGGGACAGGACGUCACAGAGGGUGAGAAUCCCGUGCCUGGCCGGCUGCCUCCUCCCGGGUGAAGGGCCUUCGACGAGUCGAGUUGUUUGGGAAUGCAGCUCCAAGUGGGUGGUAAAUUUCAUCUAAAGCUAAAUACCGGCGGGAGACCGAUAGCGCACAAGUAGAGUGAUCGAAAGAUGAAAAGCACUUUGAAAAUAGAGUCAAAAAGUACGUGAAAUUGUUGAAAGGGAAGCGCUUGAGACCAGACUCAGGCCCGGGCAAACAUCGCGCCCCUCGGGGCCGUGCAAUUGCCUGGGCCUGGGCCAGCAUCAGUUGGCGUGGCGGGACAAAGGCGCGGGGAAUGUGGCUCCCCUCGAGGAGUGUUAUCAGGCCCGCGCUCAAUGCCGCCGACGUCGACUGAGGACCGCGCCUCGGCUAGGAUGCUGGCUUAAUGGCCUUCAGCGACCCGUCUUGAAACACGGACCAAGGAGUCUAACAUCUAUGCGAGUGUUUGGGCGACAAACCCUUGCGCGGAAUGAAAGUGAGCGGAGGUGGGAACCCCCCAGCGGGGCGCACCAUCGACCGAUCCUGAUGUCUUCGGAUGGAUUUGAGUAGGAGCAUAGCUGUUGGGACCCGAAAGAUGGUGAACUAUGCCUGAAUAGGGUGAAGCCAGAGGAAACUCUGGUGGAGGCUCGCAGCGGUUCUGACGUGCAAAUCGAUCGUCAAAUUUGGGUAUAGGGGCGAAAGACUAAUCG
Molecule: ribosomal RNA, 851 nt
Filed under: Helvella guttata
Lineage: Eukaryota; Fungi; Ascomycota; Pezizomycetes; Pezizales; Helvellaceae
Description: Helvella sp. QZ-2017b partial large subunit ribosomal RNA
Rfam family: Eukaryotic large subunit ribosomal RNA
Source: RNAcentral